AGAGUUUGAUCAUGGCUCAGGAUGAACGCUAGCGGCAGGCCUAACACAUGCAAGUCGAGGGGCAGCGGGGGUAGCAAUACCCGCCGGCGACCGGCGCACGGGUGCGUAACGCGUAUGCAACCUGCCCAUUCCCGGGGGAUAGCCCGCCGAAAGGCGGAUUAAUACCCCAUGGACCCUUAGCCCCGCAUGGGGCGGAGGGUAAAGCUCCGGCGGGAAUGGAUGGGCAUGCGUGCCAUUAGCUAGCUGGCGGGGUAACGGCCCACCAGGGCUACGAUGGCUAGGGGGUCUGAGAGGAUGAUCCCCCACACUGGUACUGAGACACGGACCAGACUCCUACGGGAGGCAGCAGUGAGGAAUAUUGGUCAAUGGGCGGAAGCCUGAACCAGCCAUGCCGCGUGCAGGACGACGGCCCUACGGGUUGUAAACUGCUUUUCCGGGGGAAGAAUAAGGCCCAUGCGUGGGCCGAUGCCGGUACCCCGGGAAUAAGGAUCGGCUAACUCCGUGCCAGCAGCCGCGGUAAUACGGAGGAUCCUAGCGUUAUCCGGAUUUACUGGGUUUAAAGGGUGCGUAGGCGGGCCCCUCAGUCAGCGGUGAAAGUCUGCGGCUCAACCGUAGGAUUGCCGUUGAUACUGGGGGUCUUGAAUUCGGUCAAGGUGGGCGGAAUGCGUGGUGUAGCGGUGAAAUGCUUAGAUAUCACGCAGAACGCCGAUAGCGAAGGCAGCUCACCGGGCCGACAUUGACGCUGAGGCACGAAAGCGUGGGGAUCAAACAGGAUUAGAUACCCUGGUAGUCC
RNAcentral lists this ribosomal RNA (793 nucleotides) under uncultured bacterium. Its description in RNAcentral is "bacterial SSU rRNA". It matches the Rfam family "Bacterial small subunit ribosomal RNA", at positions 8 to 796 of the family's 1533-position model. The record is from RNAcentral.